RNAcentral lists this long non-coding RNA (1243 nucleotides) under Monodelphis domestica (gray short-tailed opossum). Its description in RNAcentral is "lncRNA (ENSMODG00000039723.1)". The record is from RNAcentral. Lineage: Eukaryota; Metazoa; Chordata; Mammalia; Didelphimorphia; Didelphidae.
CUGGAAGACAGUAGCAUGGCAGUAGGGUUGGCAAUGUUCUUGCCCGCAGCCUGGCUAUACUGGUGCUUUGCACCUGUUUCAAAAACAGCGUAUUCACCACUGUAGCUCUCACCAGGAACCACACCAGCACCCCCCACCAGUCCUGCUGCCAAGUUGUCAACAAUGUUUCCAUAGAGACUGGGCAUCACGAGCACAUCAAAUUGGUAUGGAUUUUUCACCAACUGUAGACAACAGUUGUCUAUGAUUAUGUUCUCAAACUUGAUCUUGCCUUAUGGAGUUCAGCACUUGUUCCAGUUUCUCUUCUGUGGCCAUGUUCUCCAUCCCACUCAGAUGAUACUCCUGAAACUCCACAGGGACCAGGGCUGCCUUAAAGACUUUUCUGACAGCCUCCAUAAGCUCAGGCCCCACACCAUCACCGGGCACCAUAGUGACAGGUAUCACCUUACCCUCCUUCUCAUCACCCACCCCAUGCUUUGGCUGAGCAGAGUGGGUGGCAGCUGUGGUGAUCAGGCCCCUCCAGGCUCCAGGUCUCCGACCCACUACCAGUGAUUGGCUUAUCACACGGACACUGCCCAGGGCCGCCAUCUCCUCUUACGCCCUGGACUAGAGGAGACUUGGAAGAGCAAGUCGUCGCACCGGAAGUGACGUCAAAAAGCGCGAUGUUCCUCUUAAGUCACUAUUAGCCAGGUCUCCUGGUUGCCAGGCUGUUCUCAGAGCUGUUACUUCUCCCUACAACAGAACCUAGUAUCACCAAUCUAGAGCUGAAAUGGCCAUCGGACGUUUUAAACUUAACAACUCUAAAACUAAAAUCAUUAUCUUUGCCCCCAAACCCUCUUUCUCAUUUCCGCAUUUACUGUCAAGGAGACCACCACCUCCCCAGGCUCCCAAUGAGGGGUAUCAUCCUUAACUCCCCCUCUCUUACCCUCUACGUCCAAUCCUAAUGCAGGGCCUCAUCAUUUCUCUCCUGCAUUAUUAUAAUAGCUUUCUGGUCCUUCUCCCUGCCUCAAAUCUCUCCCCAUUCCAGUCUACCAUUCACUAGCCUUCCUCUGCUCUGCCUGCCAGUGUCCCAUCUGCUAGUAGUGAACAUGUAGUCUCCUGAAAGAAUCUCUUCUCUCUUGGUAUCCUUAAACUUCAUAUGGAAUCAGCUUUUUCAAUCUAUAUUCAUCACUUGUCUUUCCCCAAGGAAGUGUCUCAUUAAUCCCUGGAAGCUUGUAUGAGGGAAUAAACCAUUAUUAGUCAUUCA